CCUACGGGAGGCAGCAGUGGGGAAUAUUGCACAAUGGGGGAAACCCUGAUGCAGCGACGCCGCGUGAGUGAAGAAGUAAUUCGUUAUGUAAAGCCCUAUCAGCAGGGAAGAAAAUGACGGUACCUGAGUAAGAAGCACCGGCUAACUACGUGCCAGCAGCCGCGGUAAUACGUAGGGGGCAAGCGUUAUCCGGAUUUACUGGGGGUAAAGGGAGCGUAGACGGCAGUGCAAGUCUGGAGUGAAAGGCGGGGGCUCAACCCCCGGACUGCUCUGGAAACUGUACGGCUGGAGUGCAGGAGAGGUAGGUGGAAUUCCUGGUGUAGCGGUGAAAUGCGUAGAUAUUAGGAGGAACACCAGUGGCGAAGGCGGCUUGCUGGACUGUAACUGACGUUGAGGCUCGAAAGCGUGGGGAGCAAACAGGAUUAGAUACCCGAGUAGUC
Molecule: ribosomal RNA, 440 nt
Filed under: uncultured bacterium
Lineage: Bacteria
Description: partial 16S ribosomal RNA
Rfam family: Bacterial small subunit ribosomal RNA
Source: RNAcentral